AACGAACGCUGGCGGCAGGCCUAACACAUGCAAGUCGAACGCCCCGCAAGGGGAGUGGCAGACGGGUGAGUAACACGUGGGAACGUACCCUUCGGUUUGGGAUAACUCAGGGAAACUUGAGCUAAUACCGGAUACGUCCGAGAGGAGAAAGAUUUAUCGCCGAGGGAUCGGCCCGCGUCUGAUUAGCUUGUUGGUGAGGU
RNAcentral lists this ribosomal RNA (200 nucleotides) under uncultured bacterium. RNAcentral's name for it is "partial 16S ribosomal RNA". It matches the Rfam family "Bacterial small subunit ribosomal RNA", at positions 29 to 258 of the family's 1533-position model. The record is from RNAcentral.